Long non-coding RNA from Ornithorhynchus anatinus (platypus), 267 nucleotides. RefSeq lists it as uncharacterized. The record is from RefSeq and is a predicted model, not a curated record. Lineage: Eukaryota; Metazoa; Chordata; Mammalia; Monotremata; Ornithorhynchidae. The transcript is spliced from 3 exons.
AGCUCCUUUUGGACGGGGAACGUGUCUACCAACUAUACAGUAGUGCGCUCUCCCAAGAACGUAGUACAUUGCUCUGCACCCGCACGAUGCUCUGAAUAUGAUAUACCUGCGAGUUGGGAAGAUAACAAAUGAACCACUCCUUCCUCUGGGCUUGACAAUGGCAUUGUGGCUGAAUCUGCUCUGUGCCAUAGCAUAUCUGGCACUCUUCUAGAAGAAUUUGUCACGUCCCUGACAUGAUCAGCCUCCAUUGUCCACAUCAUCGGUACA